This 2386-nucleotide ribosomal RNA is filed under the name Bakuella granulifera. RNAcentral's name for it is "eukaryotic LSU rRNA". The stretch from base 510 to 2386 matches the Rfam family "Eukaryotic large subunit ribosomal RNA", at positions 1 to 1874 of the family's 3401-position model. Lineage: Eukaryota; Ciliophora; Spirotrichea; Urostylida; Bakuellidae. The record is from RNAcentral.
GUAGGUGAACCUGCGGAAGGAUCAUUAACAUUAAUCCAACCAUCUAAACCUAGCCUUAUGUACUGUAGCGGUUGUAGCUAGUUUAACGACAGGCUUAUGCAGCUACAGUAUCAAUCACAACUAAACAAAAGGAGUCUAACUAAGCUCUAAAACCAAAAUCAAAUUCUCAACGAUGGAUAUCUUGGUUCCCAUAACGAUGAAGAACGCAGCGAAGUGCGAUAAGCAGUGCGAAUUGCGGAACCGUGAGUCAUCAGAUCUUUGAACGCAAAUGGCGCUAGUUGGUUACCCAGCUAGCAUGCUUGUUUCAGUGUCUUGUUUUCUCAUCACCAACAUCUUAAUGUGAGAGAUAUCCUUCUCUUACUAAGUAUGAAAGUACACUGUACUUUGCAGGCAACUUUCGGGUUGCACUCAAUGCAGCGGUCACAUUUUAUAUGUGAACUCGUUGAGAGUAAAGACAGAAAGUGGUUUAAUUACUACUGGUAGUGCUUAGAGCUAACAAAACUCUACUUGUAUCUGAAAUCAAGCAGGAUCACCCGCUGAACUUAAGCAUAUCACUAAGCGGAGGAAAAGAAAUUAACUAAGAUUGCCUCAGUAACGGCGAGUGAAGCGGCAAAAGCCCAAAAUGGUAAUCUUCACCUUUCAGGUGACGAAUUGUAAUCUACAGGUGGGAUACUCAACUGGAAGUGAUGCAGAAGUACCCUAGAACGGGUCGCCAAAGAGGGUGACAGCCCCGUAUGUGGUGUCGCUUCCUAACGAGUACCUUUCGAAGAGUCGGGUUGUUUGGAAAUGCAGCCCUAAUUUGGAGAUACACUUCUUCUAAGGCUAAAUAUGUAUGGGAAACCGAUAGCGAACAAGUACUGUGAAGGAAAGAUGAAAAGAACUUUGAAAAGAGAGUCAAAAGACUUGAAAUCGUUGAGAAGGAAGCGGUAGAAAUUUAUUCUGCAGCUAGGAAUAAAGGUUGUCGCCUAAACAUUGUGGUAUCGAGUACUUCAACGGCUCGGUGCCACACCUGUGGAAGUGAUUGCUGGAUUCCUGGUAGUGAGGCAAAAUGGGGUUUCAUAUCCUCAAAAGCCUAGAUUACCUGGGGAGGUUCGCCUUCCAGUAGUUUUGUGCUCGUGGAUAUGAAGCCUGAGGAAGCUUAUGCGAUUUUGCUAAAAUGGUUUUUACCGACCCGUCUCGAAACACGGACCAAGGAGUCUAACAUAUAUGCGAGUGUGCUGGUGGAGAAACCAACACGCAUAAUGAAGGUAAUUGAUGCCAAGCGCAAGCAGCAGCAUCGACCGACCAUGAUCCUCCGGUGAAAGGUUUGAGUAAGAGCAUAUAUGCUAGGACCCGAAAGAUGGUGAACUAUGCCUGGGUAGGGUGAAGCCAGGGGAAACUCUGGUGGAAGCUCGAAGCGAUUCUGACGUGCAAAUCGAUCGUCGAACUUGGGUAUAGGGGCGAAAGACUAAUCGAACCAUCUAGUAGCUGGUUCCCUCCGAAGUUUCCCUUAGGAUAGCUGAGACAACAACGCAGUUUUAUCAGGUAAAGCGAAUGAUUAGAGGUAUCUGGGGUAAAUUGCCCUGGACCUAUUCUCAAACUUUAAAUUGGUAAGAACCUUGGCCUUUCUUAAUUGAGGCACAAGGGAUCAAUGCUUGUCUCAAGUGGGCCAUUUUUGGUAAGCAGAACUGGCGAUGAGGGUUGCUCCUAACGUUGAGUUAAGGUGCCAAACUACACGCUCAUCAGAAACUACAAAGGGUGUUGGUUCAUCCAGACAGCAGGACGGUGGCCAUGGAAGUCGGAACCCGCUAAGGAGUGUGUAACGACUCACCUGCCGAAUGGACUAGCCCCGAAAAUCGAUGGCGCUAAAGCGUGUGACCGAUACUCAACCAUUGUGGCGAGAGUGAGGCUACAAUGAGUAGGAGGGCGUGAACGUUGUUAAGAAGCCUCUGACGUGAGUCUGGGUUGAACAGCGUUUAGUGCAGAUCUUGGUGGUAGUAGCAAUUAUUCAAAUGAGAACUUUGAAGGCCGAAGUGGAGAAGGCUUCCGUGAGAACAGCAAUUGGUCACGGGUGACUCGAUCCUAAGACAUGGGGGAAAUCCUUGUUAAGUGCACCGUAUGGUGCGUAGUCGAAAGGGAAUGAGGUUAAUAUUCCUCAAGCUGGAUGUGGGUGUUGUAUGGUAACAUAAAUGAGCUCAGAAACGCCAGUGUGAGCCUCUGGAAGAGUUCUCUUUUCUUUUUAACAGGCUAACGACCUUGAAAUUGGAUUAUCCAGAGAUAAGGUGGUAUGCUUGGAAGAGCACCUUGCUUUUCGAGGUGUCAGGUGCGCUCACAAUGGUCCAUGAAAAUCUGAGUGAGAUAGCUUCACACCAGGUCGUACCCAUAACCGCAUCAGGUCUCCAAGGUU